GUGCCACUCUGGCAGCAUAUAUUCUAAAACUCAAAUGAUACAGAGAAGAUUAGUGUGGUCCCUGCACAAGGAAGACACACAAAUUCAGGCUGUGAUAGUGCAUGCCUAU
This is a small nuclear RNA of Cavia porcellus (domestic guinea pig), 109 nucleotides long. NCBI's taxonomy places the organism in Eukaryota, Metazoa, Chordata, Mammalia, Rodentia, Caviidae. The record is from Ensembl.